GCACGUCUGUGUUCUUACGAGAUACAUUAAUGCACAUUUACGCAAUCAUUCGUACUCGCUCAAAGUAUAAUUUUAUUAAUGUGUGCAGCAGAUUUGUUUUAUCGCGUUAAUAUAUACAUGUAAACUUCUUAUCAUUCUAUUCAAUGUGCAGCUUUCGGCUUUGCCGAAGAUGGAAUAAGUAGAACGAUGCUCUAACUAAACUUCGAGUAAUCCAGAGAAUAGCGAGAAUGGUAACCGCCAGAACUGCGUAAAC
Long non-coding RNA from Neodiprion fabricii, 253 nucleotides. RefSeq lists it as uncharacterized. The record is from RefSeq and is a predicted model, not a curated record. Lineage: Eukaryota; Metazoa; Arthropoda; Insecta; Hymenoptera; Diprionidae. The transcript is spliced from 2 exons.